AGUGAACGCUGGCGGUAGGCCUAACACAUGCAAGUCGAACGGCAGCACAGUAAGAGCUUGCUCUUACUGGUGGCGAGUGGCGGACGGGUGAGGAAUACAUCGGAAUCUACUUUUUCGUGGGGAUAACGUAGGGAAACUUACGCUAAUACCGCAUACGACCUACGGGUGAAAGCAGGGGAUCUUCGGACCUUGCGCGAUUGAAUGAGCCGAUGUCGGAUUAGCUAGUUGGCGGGGUAAAGGCCCACCAAGGCGACGAUCCGUAGCUGGUCUGAGAGGAUGAUCAGCCACACUGGAACUGAGACACGGUCCAGACUCCUACGGGAGGCAGCAGUGGGGAAUAUUGGACAAUGGGCGCAAGCCUGAUCCAGCCAUACCGCGCGGGUGAAGAAGGCCUUCGGGUUGUAAAGCCCUUUUGUUGGGAAAGAAAAGCAGCAGGUUAAUACCCCGCUGUUCUGACGGUACCCAAAGAAUAAGCACCGGCUAACUUCGUG
RNAcentral lists this ribosomal RNA (491 nucleotides) under uncultured bacterium. RNAcentral's name for it is "partial 16S ribosomal RNA". It matches the Rfam family "Bacterial small subunit ribosomal RNA", at positions 29 to 507 of the family's 1533-position model. The record is from RNAcentral.